Molecule: long non-coding RNA, 711 nt
Filed under: Carassius auratus (goldfish)
Lineage: Eukaryota; Metazoa; Chordata; Actinopteri; Cypriniformes; Cyprinidae
Description: lncRNA (ENSCARG00000046506.1)
Source: RNAcentral
AUGGCUGACCACAAAAUAUUUAAAAGAAUAAUGUACAUAAUUCGUGUUUUCAAAAAAGUAAUUAUUUUACUCGACAAAAUAAUAUCCGUGUGUUUUUCAAAAACCGCGCGCAUUUUUCAGUCAGUCACGUCACGUGCACUCCGCUCAUCCACACUGGCUCACUCACUCGCUGAUGGGAUCACAGCAGGAUUAACGUUAUUCGCGAGACACGACGCGGUCAUGGUAAAAAAUACAGUGCAAAGGCAGAGAGUGAAGGUGUGGUGGUAUUGGCAGCAGGAAGGCUGCAUAAUAUGGGUCUGAAAUGAAGUACCGGUAAGUACUAUUCACAUUAAACAAAUUGAUGGGCUUUAGUGUUGUACCAGAUGAAAUUUGUCACGUUAAAAACAGUUAUUUAAAUACAUCGUAGUUUUGUUUUUAUUUUUUGAUGAUUUGCUAUUAAUGCAGAUGUAAUGGUGACCAGAAAUGACCAGCAGCACAAAUGUUAAGUCUUCUGAAGCAAUUCUAUACUUUUGUUUUAUAAGUUCUAUAUUUCUAAUCCAAUUGCAUAUUAGAUUAAUCAAAUCAUUAAUACACAGAUGAAAAAUAACAAACCCCAACUAAAGUCCAACAAGAAUGACAUCAUGACAUCUAAGAACCAGUCAUGUUUGAUUCAGAUUAGGGCUUGGCGAUAUAUGAAAAAAUCUUGAUAUUGGCAAAUUUUUUAUAAUAUUC